Molecule: ribosomal RNA, 459 nt
Filed under: uncultured bacterium
Lineage: Bacteria
Description: partial 16S ribosomal RNA
Rfam family: Bacterial small subunit ribosomal RNA
Source: RNAcentral
CCUACGGGAGGCUGCAGUGAGGAAUAUUGGUCAAUGGGCGCGAGCCUGAACCAGCCAAGUCGCGUGAGGGAAGACGGUCCUAUGGAUUGUAAACCUCUUUUGUCGGGGAGCAAAAGACGCCACGCGUGGCGUUCCGAGAGUACCCGAAGAAAAAGCAUCGGCUAACUCCGUGCCAGCAGCCGCGGUAAUACGGAGGAUGCGAGCGUUAUCCGGAUUUAUUGGGUUUAAAGGGUGCGCAGGCGGAAGAUCAAGUCGGCGGUAAAAUUGGGCGGGUCAACCUCUUCGUGCCGGUGAAACUGGUAGUGUUGAGUAGGCGAGAAGUAGGCGGAAUGCGUGGUGUAGCGGUGAAAUGCAUAGAUAGCACGCAGAACUCCGAUUGCGAAGGCAGCAUACCGGCGCUCAACUGACGCUCAUGCACGAAAGUGUGGGUAUCGAACAGGAUUAGAUACCCCAGUAGUC